Molecule: transfer RNA, 71 nt
Filed under: Canis lupus familiaris (dog)
Lineage: Eukaryota; Metazoa; Chordata; Mammalia; Carnivora; Canidae
Also listed under: 1 other name
Rfam family: tRNA
About the family: Transfer RNA (tRNA) molecules are approximately 80 nucleotides in length. Their secondary structure includes four short double-helical elements and three loops (D, anti-codon, and T loops).
Source: Rfam by way of RNAcentral
GCCUGGAUGGCUCAGUGGUUGAGUGUCUGCCUUUGGCUCAGGACAUGUGGGAUCAAGUCCCACAUCGGGCU